This 2904-nucleotide ribosomal RNA is filed under the name gut metagenome. RNAcentral's name for it is "eukaryotic LSU rRNA". It matches the Rfam family "Eukaryotic large subunit ribosomal RNA", at positions 1 to 2450 of the family's 3401-position model. The record is from RNAcentral.
CACUUUUUAAGUGAUUAGAUUGAAAAUAAAUAUUAUGAAAAAAUGAAUUAAUAAUAAAAAUUAUAAAAAUGUAAUAAUUUUUAUAAUUGGUAUUUAUUAAUUCUAAAAAAAUUGAUAAUUCAGAUUAAUAAGAUAGACCCGCUGAAUUGAAGCAUCUUAAUAAGCGGAGGAAAAGAAAAUAACAAUGAUUUCCAUAGUAACGGCGAGUGAAAAGGAAAAAGCCCAAGCAUUGAAUCAAAAAGGUAACUUUUUGAGAUGUGGUGGAUAAAAGGUUAGAGAUAAUUUAGAGAAUUUAUUUUUUGAAGUUAUCUGGAAAGGUACGGCAUAGAGGGUGAUACCCCCGUUCAAAAAAUAUAAACUCUAGAUUAAUAUGAUCUCUGAUCUAAGAGGAGUAGUGUUGCUUGAGAGUGCAGCGCAAAGAGUGGUGGUAUACUCCAUCAAAGGCUAAAUAUUUAUGAGAAACCGAUAGCGAACAAGUACCGUGAGGGAAAGAUGAAAAGUACUCUGAAAAGAGGGUUAAAAGAGCCUGAAGUUGUUGGAAUGGAAGGGAUUUACGGAGAGUACUAGAGAAGAGAGCGGAUGGGAGAAGCACGCAAGUGUGUAUUGCAACCGUUCUUCAACACUAACGAAUAUUGAUAUGGGAUCAAAUGGCCUAUUAUGUUAGAUAUUUGAAGUUGAUUCCUCGGAGUUUUCUUUGAAUGUUUGUAAUAGGAACCUGAUGCUCUGUAUUGAUAUUUCAAAAUUCCAAUCAAUCACAUGGUAUUCAUGUGUAUUGGAUUCGAGUUAGUGAGGAUCACGUAAAUCUACCCGUCUUGAAACACGGACCAAGGAGUCUCAUUUAUAAGCGAGGAUAAGAUGUUUAGUAACGAUCUAAUAGUAUCCAAAAUGAAAGUGAAUUCAUUGAAUGGGAAGAGAAUCCUCUCGGGGGUUUUCUGCAGCAUUGACUUGGCUGUUUGGGUUGUCUAAUUCUUUAUGGGUUAGUACCCUUUUGCUGAAAGUAAAAGUUUAUAGAUGAGGACCCGAAAGAUGGUGAACUAUACUUGGAAUGGAGGAAGCCAGGGGAAACUCUGGUGGAUGUCCUGAGCCGUGCUAACGUGCAAAUUGCUGGUGGAAUCUGGGUAUAGGGGCGAAAGACUCAUCGAACCAUCUAGUAGCUGGUUCCCUCCGAAUUUUCCCUCAGGAUUGCUGUGACUUUGUGAUAGUUGUAUCAAGUAAAGCGAAUGAUUAGAAGUGGUGAAGCUCAGCUUUGCUGUUCGGGGAUUUUAUAUCCUUGACUUAUUCUCAAACUUUGAAGUGGUACUUUUUAUGUGUUGUGGUCUUUAAUAAUGCACUGGACACAUAAUGAAUAUAGGAGGUCACAAGUGGGCCAUAUCUGGUAAGCAGAACUGGCGAUGUGGGAUGAACCAAACGAGGAGUUAAGGUGCCUCAGAGCGAGAGUCAAGGAAGCCAGAAAGGGAGUCGAUUCAUCUAGACAGCAGGACGGUGGCCACGGAAGUCGGAAUCCGCUAAGAAGUGUGUAACAACUUACCUGCCGAAUGAAUCGGUCCCGAAAAUGGAUGGCGCUAAAGUCUCGGGAUGACGUUAUACCGAUACUCUUCUAUCAAAGAUAUUUGAUUGUAGUUUUUGAUAAGUAGGAGGAAGCGUGAAGGGGAUUGUGAAGCCAGAGUAGCGUGAGCUACGGUGGAAUUACCUUUAGUGCAGAUCUUGGUGGUAGUAGCGAUUACUCAAGUGAGAAGCUUGAGGGCCAAUGAGGAGAAGGGUUUCGCGCGAAUGGCGAACGAGCGCGAGUUAGCCGGACCUAAACGAUUGGGGAAACCUUUGAAAUAAUGCAUUUUCUAAUUUUAAGUGUAGAUGGCUUGCUAUUUAUAUUUGAGGUUAGAAUUUAAUAUAUGCAUUUAAUCGUGAAAGGGAAUCAGGGUUAAUAUUCCUGAGCCGAUUAUGGAGUUAAUAAUUAGGGCUUGCUCUAGUUAUUUUGAUAAAUGGUAACAUGAAAUAACUUUGUGAGUUCAAUCGACAGUCAUUGAAAAGUUGUCUUUUCUUUCUAAUCCACAUUUGUAUUGCAUAGAUUUGGAGGGAUGUAAAAGUUCUUUUGAGUUUAUGCGAUACGAGCUUUGGGUAUUCUCUUGGAGUAAGGUUGAAUGUUAUUGAAGAGUUUUGGCUUUCGGGUUGAGAUUUUUUGAUGAUGUUUGAAAUUAUUCCGUCGGGAGGGUAUCUGAACACAUAUCCUUUGAAUUGAGUCAAUCAGAGAAGAGGGUGUAGGUGGAGAAUUUGGUAUUUCCAAUCUUUGGGAGUACAAUGACAUGUUUGCGAUUGAACCUUGAAAAACAAAGGGAAUUCAGGAUUGUUUAGACUUGAUCCUGGGAGUUCAUAAUCGACCGUACCAAUGACCGCAACAGGUCUCCAAGGUUAAAAGCCUUUGGUGUUGUAGAAGAAAGUAGGUAAGGGAAGUCGGCAAAAUAGCACCGUAAGUUUGCGAUAAGGUGUGGCUCUGAAGAACAGAUAUUAUAAAAGUAGGUAUGCUCUCGGGUAUAUUUAAGUUUAUAAUGUCAUAAUGUUUAAUUCAGAACUGAAAGAAACCAGGGGAAUUGGACUGUUUAAUAAAAACAAAGCAUUGUGAAGGUACGUACGUGUAUGUUGACACAAUGUGAUUUCUGCCCAGUGCUGUGAAUGUCAAAGUGAAGAGAUUCAAGGAAGCACGGGUUAACGGCGGGAGUAACUAUGACUCUCUUAAGGUAGCCAAAUGCCUCGUCAUCUAAUUAGUGACGCGCAUGAAUGGAUGAACGAAAUUCCCACUGUCCCUAUGUACUAUCUAGCGAACCCACUGCCAAGGGAACGGGCUUGGCAAAAUCAGCGGGGAAAGAAGACCCUGUUGAGCUUGACUCUAGUCUGACUUUGUGAAAUGAC